Molecule: ribosomal RNA, 438 nt
Filed under: Salmonella enterica
Lineage: Bacteria; Pseudomonadati; Pseudomonadota; Gammaproteobacteria; Enterobacterales; Enterobacteriaceae
Also listed under: 1 other name
Description: partial 23S ribosomal RNA
Rfam family: Bacterial large subunit ribosomal RNA
Source: RNAcentral
CGUAUCACCCAAGACAACUUUACGGAGUUGACGAUUGACGGAGCGAAGCGACGUCAAAGCGUUCAUUAAAGUCGAGUUGGCUUAGGGAUACGUUCGUUGGGUAGGGGAGCGUUCUGUAAGCCUGUGAAGGUGUGUCGUGAGGCAUGCUGGAGGUAUCAGAAGUGCGAAUGCUGACAUAAGUAACGAUAAAGCGGGUGAAAAGCCCGCUCGCCGGAAGACCAAGGGUUCCUGUCCAACGUUAAUCGGGGCAGGGUGAGUCGACCCCUAAGGCGAGGCCGAAAGGCGUAGUCGAUGGGAAACGGGUUAAUAUUCCCGUACUUGGUGUUACUGCGAAGGGGGGACGGAGAAGGCUAUGUUGGCCGGGCGACGGUUGUCCCGGUUUAAGCGUGUAGGUGUGUGUUCCAGGUAAAUCCGGUUCACUUUAACACUGAGGCGUGA